CGCAUGCGCAUGAGAUGAUCCAGACCUGUGGCUCAAGAACUGUAGAGCAGUCCUUUUGUAUUAUGACAACAUGAGAGAGGAACUUGAGCAGUUUUGCGAUGACAUCAAGCAAUACUCAGUACACAAUAGCCUACUUUCACUGAGGUUUGCAGAAAUAAUGAGGAUGUACAACCAGGAACUGUUAUGUUGCAGGCAGUGAGUAGAGAACGAAUACAAAGAUGGUGAGUGAACA
Long non-coding RNA from Labeo rohita (rohu), 232 nucleotides. RefSeq lists it as uncharacterized. The transcript is spliced from 3 exons. The record is from RefSeq and is a predicted model, not a curated record. NCBI's taxonomy places the organism in Eukaryota, Metazoa, Chordata, Actinopteri, Cypriniformes, Cyprinidae.